AAAACGGAGAGUUUGAUCCUGGCUCAGGAUGAACGCUGGCGGUAUGCUUAACACAUGCAAGUCGAACGGGAUGCUUAGGCAUCUAGUGGCGGACGGGUGAGUAACGCGUGAGAAUCUGGCUCCAGGUCGGGGAUAACAGUUGGAAACGACUGCUAAUACCGGAUGUGCCGAGAGGUGAAAGAUUUAUCGCCUGGAGAUGAGCUCGCGUCUGAUUAGCUAGUUGGUGGUGUAAGGGACCACCAAGGCGUCGAUCAGUAGCUGGUCUGAGAGGAUGAUCAGCCACACUGGGACUGAGACACGGCCCAGACUCCUACGGGAGGCAGCAGUGGGGAAUUUUCCGCAAUGGGCGAAAGCCUGACGGAGCAAUACCGCGUGAGGGAGGAAGGCUCUUGGGUCGUAAACCUCUUUUCUCAAGGAAGAAGAAAGUGACGGUACUUGAGGAAUAAGCAUCGGCUAACUCCGUGCCAGCAGCCGCGGUAAUACGGAGGAUGCAAGCGUUAUCCGGAAUGAUUGGGCGUAAAGGGUCUGCAGGUGGAACUGAAAGUCUGCUGUUAAAGAGUUUGGCUUAACCAAAUAAAAGCGGUGGAAACUACAGAACUAGAGUGUGGUAGGGGCAAAAGGAAUUCCUGGUGUAGCGGUGAAAUGCGUAGAUAUCAGGAAGAACACCGGUGGCGAAAGCGUUUUGCUAGACCAUAACUGACACUGAGGGACGAAAGCUAGGGGAGCGAAUGGGAUUAGAUACCCCAGUAGUCCUAGCCGUAAACGAUGGAUACUAGGCGUGGCUUGUAUCGACCCGAGCCGUGCCGGAGCUAACGCGUUAAGUAUCCCGCCUGGGGAGUACGCACGCAAGUGUGAAACUCAAAGGAAUUGACGGGGGCCCGCACAAGCGGUGGAGUAUGUGGUUUAAUUCGAUGCAACGCGAAGAACCUUACCAAGACUUGACAUCCUGCGAAUCUCGGUGAAAGCUGGGAGUGCCUUAGGGAGCGCAGAGACAGGUGGUGCAUGGCUGUCGUCAGCUCGUGUCGUGAGAUGUUGGGUUAAGUCCCGCAACGAGCGCAACCCUCGUUUUUAGUUGCCAGCAUUAAGUUGGGCACUCUAGAGAGACUGCCGGUGACAAACCGGAGGAAGGUGAGGAUGACGUCAAGUCAGCAUGCCCCUUACGUCUUGGGCUACACACGUACUACAAUGCUACGGACAGAGGGCAGCGAGCCAGGGAUGGCAAGCGAAUCCAGAAACCGUAGCUCAGUUCAGAUCGAAGGCUGCAACUCGCCUUCGUGAAGGAGGAAUCGCUAGUAAUUGCAGGUCAGCAUACUGCAGUGAAUUCGUUCCCGGGCCUUGUACACACCGCCCGUCACACCAUGGAAGUUGGUCACGCCCGAAGUCAUUACCCCAACCGAAAGGAGGGGGAUGCCUAAGGUAGGACUGGUGACUGGGGUGAAGUCGUAACAAGGUAGCCGUACCGGAAGGUGUGGCUGGAUCACCUCCUUUU
This 1489-nucleotide ribosomal RNA is filed under the name Cylindrospermopsis curvispora GIHE-G1. Its description in RNAcentral is "bacterial SSU rRNA". It matches the Rfam family "Bacterial small subunit ribosomal RNA". The record is from RNAcentral. Lineage: Bacteria; Bacillati; Cyanobacteriota; Cyanophyceae; Nostocales; Aphanizomenonaceae.